RNAcentral lists this ribosomal RNA (526 nucleotides) under uncultured bacterium. Its description in RNAcentral is "bacterial SSU rRNA". It matches the Rfam family "Bacterial small subunit ribosomal RNA", at positions 524 to 1050 of the family's 1533-position model. The record is from RNAcentral.
UACAGAGGUGGCAAGCGUUGUUCGGAUUUACUGGGCGUAAAGGGUGCGUAGGUGGUAUUGUAUGUCGGAUGUGAAAUCUCACCGCUCAACGGUGAAAUGGCAUUCGAAACUGCGAUACUUGAGUGCAGGAGAGGAGAGCGGAAUUCUUGGUGUAGCGGUGGAAUGCGUUGAGAUCAAGAAGAACACCGGUGGCGUAGGCGGCUCUCUGGUAUGCAACUGACACUGAGGCACGAAAGUUGGGGGAGCAAACAGGAUUAGAUACCCUGGUAGUCCCAACCUUAAACGGUGUACAUUUGGUGUGGGGAGAUUGACCCUCUCCGUGCCGGAGCUAACGCGUUAAAUGUACCGCCUGGGGAGUACGGUCGCAAGAUUAAAACUCAAAGAAAUUGACGGGGGCCCGCACAAGCGGAGGAGCAUGUGGCUUAAUUCGAUGCAACGCGAAGAACCUUACCAGGGCUUGACAUGCAGCUGCACAUCCGCCGAAAAGUGGAUUCCUUCGAGGGUGCUGCACAGGUGCUGCAUGGCU